AAUGAACGCUGGCGGCAUGCCUAACACAUGCAAGUCGAACGGCAGCACCGUGAGUGCUUGCGCUUGCGGGUGUCGCGUGUCGGAAGGUUGACGUAUGUAUCGGAUACCUCUUUUUCGGGGGUGAUAACGUAGGGAAACGUCUGCUAAUACAGCAUAUGUCGUACUGGUGAGGGCAGGGGUUCGUCGGGCUUUUCGCGAUGGUAAGAGCCUAUGUCGGCUUAGCUAGUUGGCGGGGUAAAGGCGCAGCUAGGCGACGCUCCGUAGAUGCUCUGACAGGAUGAUCCGACACACUGGAAGUGAGGCACGGCCGAGACUCCUACAGGAGGCAGCAGUCGGGAAUAUUGCGCGAUGGGGGAAAGCCUGAUACAGCAAUACCGCGUGAGUGAUGAAGGACUUCGGCUGGUAAAGCGCUGUUGUUCGGAAAGAAAAAAAGCACGUUUACCCCGGAUGGUAAUGACGGUACCGAAAGAAUAAGCACCGGCUAACUCCGUG
This 492-nucleotide ribosomal RNA is filed under the name uncultured bacterium. RNAcentral's name for it is "partial 16S ribosomal RNA". It matches the Rfam family "Bacterial small subunit ribosomal RNA", at positions 29 to 507 of the family's 1533-position model. The record is from RNAcentral.